UACAGAGGGUGCGAGCGUUAAUCGGAAUUACUGGGCGUAAAGCGCACGUAGGUGGCGACGUAAGUCGGGUGUGAAAGCCCCGGGCUCAACCUGGGAAUUGCAUUCGAGACUGCAUUGCUGGAGUACGGAAGAGGAAGGCGGAAUUCCCGGUGUAGCGGUGAAAUGCGUAGAUAUCUGGAGGAGCACCGGUGGCGAAGGCGGCAUCCUGGACCAAUAUUGACGCUGAGGAGCGAAAGCUAGGGGAGCAAACGGG
This 253-nucleotide ribosomal RNA is filed under the name uncultured bacterium. RNAcentral's name for it is "partial 16S ribosomal RNA". It matches the Rfam family "Bacterial small subunit ribosomal RNA", at positions 524 to 776 of the family's 1533-position model. The record is from RNAcentral.